UACGGUCAUAUCACACUGAAACGCUGGUUCCCGUACAAUCACCGAAGUUAAGCAACGUCGAACCUUGCCAGCACCUUGAUGGGUGACCGCUUUUCGAAUACCAGGUGUUGUUA
This is a non-coding RNA of Acanthosepion pharaonis, 113 nucleotides long. The record is from the annotation of a GenBank genome assembly. Lineage: Eukaryota; Metazoa; Mollusca; Cephalopoda; Sepiida; Sepiidae.